This 161-nucleotide ribosomal RNA is filed under the name uncultured bacterium. RNAcentral's name for it is "partial 16S ribosomal RNA". It matches the Rfam family "Bacterial small subunit ribosomal RNA", at positions 355 to 509 of the family's 1533-position model. The record is from RNAcentral.
UAGGGAAUUUUCGUCAAUGGGCGCAAGCCUGAACGAGCGAUGCCGCGUGAGUGAAGAAGGCCUCGGGUCGUAAAGCUCUGUUGCGGGGGAAAAAAGGCAGCAUCAGGAAAUGGGUGCUGACUGAUGGUGCCCCGCCAGAAAGUCACGGCUAACUACGUGCC